CAGAUGUGAACCAAACUGAAACCGUCCGCUUUUAAAUGUUUAGAAUCAUUGCAAUGGGGUGCCCCUCCUCUAUUUCAUAGGAUUCCUGGGAUGCUGCCUUCAGAGUUAGGUAAUGUCCAAAUUUCUUCUCUUUAUAUAGGCAUUCUAGUCUCAUGUAAAAGGACCUAGGCACCUAGCUAACCUGAUUUGGAACACAACCUGGUUUUGAAAGCUUUUGAUCAUAAUGUCAUAUAGAGUCUCUGCAGAAUCACAAAUACCAGAAUUUUUUUAUAAAUCUCGAAUAAUUUAACAUGCUGGUUCCCUGAUCAUGCUGAUCUUUGUAUAUAAAAUGGUUCAGA
Molecule: long non-coding RNA, 338 nt
Filed under: Phoenix dactylifera (date palm)
Lineage: Eukaryota; Viridiplantae; Streptophyta; Magnoliopsida; Arecales; Arecaceae
Description: long non-coding RNA (PDAC_LNC021553)
Source: RNAcentral